UUAAGUUAUUAAGGGCGCACGGUGGAUGCCUUGGCACUAGAAGCCGAUGAAGGACGUUACUAACGACGAUAUGCUUUGGGGAGCUGUAAGUAAGCUUUGAUCCAGAGAUUUCCGAAUGGGGAAACCCAGCAUGAGUUAUGUCAUGUUAUCGAUAUGUGAAUACAUAGCAUAUCAGAAGGCACACCCGGAGAACUGAAACAUCUUAGUACCCGGAGGAAGAGAAAGAAAAUUCGAUUCCCUUAGUAGCGGCGAGCGAAACGGGAAGAGCCCAAACCAACAAGCUUGCUUGUUGGGGUUGUAGGACACUCUAUACGGAGUUACAAAGGACGACAUUAGACGAAUCAUCUGGAAAGAUGAAUCAAAGAAGGUAAUAAUCCUGUAGUCGAAAAUGUUGUCUCUCUUGAGUGGAUCCUGAGUACGACGGAGCACGUGAAAUUCCGUCGGAAUCUGGGAGGACCAUCUCCUAAGGCUAAAUACUCUCUAGUGACCGAUAGUGAACCAGUACCGUGAGGGAAAGGUGAAAAGCACCCCGGAAGGGGAGUGAAAUAGAACCUGAAACCGUGUGCUUACAAGUAGUCAGAGCCCGUUAAUGGGUGAUGGCGUGCCUUUUGUAGAAUGAACCGGCGAGUUACGAUUUGAUGCAAGGUUAAGCAGUAAAUGUGGAGCCGUAGCGAAAGCGAGUCUGAAUAGGGCGUUUAGUAUUUGGUCGUAGACCCGAAACCAGGUGAUCUACCCUUGGUCAGGUUGAAGUUCAGGUAACACUGAAUGGAGGACCGAACCGACUUACGUUGAAAAGUGAGCGGAUGAACUGAGGGUAGCGGAGAAAUUCCAAUCGAACCUGGAGAUAGCUGGUUCUCUCCGAAAUAGCUUUAGGGCUAGCCUCAAGUGAUGAUUAUUGGAGGUAGAGCACUGUUUGGACGAGGGGCCCCUCUCGGGUUACCGAAUUCAGACAAACUCCGAAUGCCAAUUAAUUUAACUUGGGAGUCAGAACAUGGGUGAUAAGGUCCGUGUUCGAAAGGGAAACAGCCCAGACCACCAGCUAAGGUCCCAAAAUAUAUGUUAAGUGGAAAAGGAUGUGGCGUUGCCCAGACAACUAGGAUGUUGGCUUAGAAGCAGCCAUCAUUUAAAGAGUGCGUAAUAGCUCACUAGUCGAGUGACACUGCGCCGAAAAUGUACCGGGGCUAAACAUAUUACCGAAGCUGUGGAUUGUCCUUUGGACAAUGGUAGGAGAGCGUUCUAAGGGCGUUGAAGCAUGAUCGUAAGNACAUGUGGAGCGCUUAGAAGUGAGAAUGCCGGUGUGAGUAGCGAAAGACGGGUGAGAAUCCCGUCCACCGAUUGACUAAGGUUUCCAGAGGAAGGCUCGUCCGCUCUGGGUUAGUCGGGUCCUAAGCUGAGGCCGACAGGCGUAGGCGAUGGAUAACAGGUUGAUAUUCCUGUACCACCUAUAAUCGUUUUAAUCGAUGGGGGGACGCAGUAGGAUAGGCGAAGCGUGCGAUUGGAUUGCACGUCUAAGCAGUAAGGCUGAGUAUUAGGCAAAUCCGGUACUCGUUAAGGCUGAGCUGUGAUGGGGAGAAGACAUUGUGUCUUCGAGUCGUUGAUUUCACACUGCCGAGAAAAGCCUCUAGAUAGAAAAUAGGUGCCCGUACCGCAAACCGACACAGGUAGUCAAGAUGAGAAUUCUAAGGUGAGCGAGCGAACUCUCGUUAAGGAACUCGGCAAAAUGACCCCGUAACUUCGGGAGAAGGGGUGCUCUUUAGGGUUAACGCCCAGAAGAGCCGCAGUGAAUAGGCCCAAGCGACUGUUUAUCAAAAACACAGGUCUCUGCUAAACCGUAAGGUGAUGUAUAGGGGCUGACGCCUGCCCGGUGCUGGAAGGUUAAGAGGAGUGGUUAGCUUCUGCGAAGCUACGAAUCGAAGCCCCAGUAAACGGCGGCCGUAACUAUAACGGUCCUAAGGUAGCGAAAUUCCUUGUCGGGUAAGUUCCGACCCGCACGAAAGGCGUAACGAUUUGGGCACUGUCUCAACGAGAGACUCGGUGAAAUCAUAGUACCUGUGAAGAUGCAGGUUACCCGCGACAGGACGGAAAGACCCCGUGGAGCUUUACUGUAGCCUGAUAUUGAAAUUCGGCACAGCUUGUACAGGAUAGGUAGGAGCCUUUGAAACGUGAGCGCUAGCUUACGUGGAGGCGCUGGUGGGAUACUACCCUAGCUGUGUUGGCUUUCUAACCCGCACCACUUAUCGUGGUGGGAGACAGUGUCAGGCGGGCAGUUUGACUGGGGCGGUCGCCUCCUAAAAGGUAACGGAGGCGCUCAAAGGUUCCCUCAGAAUGGUUGGAAAUCAUUCAUAGAGUGUAAAGGCAUAAGGGAGCUUGACUGCGAGACCUACAAGUCGAGCAGGGUCGAAAGACGGACUUAGUGAUCCGGUGGUUCCGCAUGGAAGGGCCAUCGCUCAACGGAUAAAAGCUACCCCGGGGAUAACAGGCUUAUCUCCCCCAAGAGUUCACAUCGACGGGGAGGUUUGGCACCUCGAUGUCGGCUCAUCGCAUCCUGGGGCUGUAGUCGGUCCCAAGGGUUGGGCUGUUCGCCCAUUAAAGCGGUACGCGAGCUGGGUUCAGAACGUCGUGAGACAGUUCGGUCCCUAUCCGUCGUGGGCGUAGGAAAUUUGAGAGGAGCUGUCCUUAGUACGAGAGGACCGGGAUGGACAUACCUCUGGUGUACCAGUUGUCGUGCCAACGGCAUAGCUGGGUAGCUAUGUGUGGACGGGAUAAGUGCUGAAAGCAUCUAAGCAUGAAGCCCCCCUCAAGAUGAGAUUUCCC
This 2814-nucleotide ribosomal RNA is filed under the name Staphylococcus aureus. RNAcentral's name for it is "23S ribosomal RNA". It matches the Rfam family "Bacterial large subunit ribosomal RNA". Lineage: Bacteria; Bacillati; Bacillota; Bacilli; Caryophanales; Staphylococcaceae. The record is from RNAcentral.